Tympanuchus pallidicinctus (lesser prairie-chicken) is the source of this 1715-nucleotide long non-coding RNA. RefSeq lists it as uncharacterized. The transcript has 3 exons. The record is from RefSeq and is a predicted model, not a curated record. Lineage: Eukaryota; Metazoa; Chordata; Aves; Galliformes; Phasianidae.
UUCCUGAUGCACCUUCUUUCACCAUGUGAACUGUAUUAUCCACAGCAAAAUAUUAAAAAUUAAUUUGACCUAAGCCUAAUUAUUUCUAAUGUGCUUUCUAAUUUUCUUCAUUGCAAAAACAUUAAUUUCCUGAAGCAAUCUAACAUCACAGUUAAACUUGGAACGCCUCAAACUCUACAACCAUUCAUCUGGGCAAAACAGUUUGCACUGAAUAGACUUGGCAGAAACUCAGUCUACAACACGGCACCACUCACUUGAUUCAAUAGCAUCCAGUUUCUGGAACGUCCACACAACAUCACCAUCGAGUACCUUGGAGUACUAGACCUUUUGUGAGAAGCAAAAGCUAUUUGUACUCCAAUCCCACAUAGAAGUAACUCAAUCCCAAAUCAAAACAAGAGAGGAGGUGGAUGCCCCAUCCCUAGAGAUGCUCAAGACAGAUGAGUGUACUAGAGAAUACAAGAAACCAUUGCCUCAAGGUAUAGCCAUCUCAGGUCAAGUCUCAGUCCAAACUCAGGUCAUUAUGGAAUCACAGAUUCAUUAAGGUUAGAAAAAACUACUUAAGAUCACCUAGUCCAACAUCAACCCAUCACAACCAUGGCCACUGACCAUGAUCCUCAGUGCUACAACUACCCUUUCCUUGAACACCUCCAGGGACAGUGACUCCACCACCUACCUGGGCAGCCUGUGCCACUGCAUCACUAUUGCUUCUGAGAAGAAAUUCUUCCUAAUGUAGAGCUUGAACCUGCCUUGCACAACUUGAAGCCAUUUCUUCUCAUCUUAUCACUGUCCUGAUGGCCUCCCUGCUCCUGCUGGCUGCACUAUUUCUGAUACAAUUUAGGAUGCUAUUGGCCUUCUUGGCCACCUGGGCACAUUGCUAGCUCAUAUUUAGCAGGCUGCCAACUAACAUCCUCAGAUCCUUUUCCUGCGAACAACCUUCCAGCCGUUCUGCCCCAAGUUGCUGUAUUGCCCAGGGUUAUUAUUACAGAAGUGCAGAGCCCAGCAUCUGGUCAUCCCACUGCCUCAGCCCAGCUAUCCAACCUUUCCACAUCCCUCUGCAGGGACUUCCUACCCCUAGGCAGAUUGACACUCCCUCCCAGCUUGAUGUCAUCUGCAAACUUACAGAGGGUGCACUCAAUUCCCUCAUCCAAAUCAUCAAUGUAGACAUAAAACAGGGCUGGCCCCAGUACCGACCUCUGAGGAAUUCUGCUAGCAACCAGUCAAUGACUGCAUUUAACUCCACUCACCAUCAAUACAGACACAGAAAAUGGUUUUUAACUUGCAGUUGCAAUUAAGGAGCCUUUAUGGGAAAGUUAGCACAAUCAAGACACACAACGCUACGCAACUCACAGAAAAACAACUCAUUUUAGUCUCAAGAACACAUAUGCAUAUGUAAUAGGACUCCAUAGAGGACACCAGGUGAACACUUACAGUCAGACAAACAGGAAAGCCAGAAAUAGAGUUCAGUAAGUUCAGAACUACAAAGCAUAGCAUAAAAACCACAUUAUCUGCUCUCAGCGACCAAACCCAGGCAAAACCCGAGGCUCAAAACGCGGGGUGUUCCUCCCUGUAAACCACAGACCCUCACACAGAAAAACCAGGAUUUAUUUUUUUCACCCAACGCUCCCCCGCACUACAACGUCCAGCUGCAACAAGUCGCUCCGCGCAGAGGGAAGCACGGCCCUUCCCCGCAGCCCUCAGGCAGAGCCCGCCCUCCA